RNAcentral lists this ribosomal RNA (637 nucleotides) under uncultured bacterium. RNAcentral's name for it is "bacterial SSU rRNA". It matches the Rfam family "Bacterial small subunit ribosomal RNA", at positions 232 to 879 of the family's 1533-position model. The record is from RNAcentral.
CGCGGCCUAUCAGCUUGUUGGUGGGGUAGUGGCUUACCAAGGCUUUGACGGGUAGCCGGCCUGAGAGGGUGACCGGCCACAUUGGGACUGAGAUACGGCCCAGACUCCUACGGGAGGCAGCAGUGGGGAAUAUUGCACAAUGGGCGGAAGCCUGAUGCAGCAACGUCGCGUGCGGGAUGACGGCCUUCGGGUUGCAAACCGCUUUCGCCUGUGACGAAGCGUGAGUGACGGUAAUGGGUAAAGAAGCACCGGCUAACUACGUGCCAGCAGCCGCGGUGAUACGUAGGGUGCGAGCGUUGUCCGGAUUUAUUGGGCGUAAAGGGCUCGUAGGUGGUUGAUCGCGUCGGAAGUGUAAUCUUGGGGCUUAACCCUGAGCGUGCUUUCGAUACGGGUUGACUUGAGGAAGGUAGGGGAGAAUGGAAUUCCUGGUGGAGCGGUGGAAUGCGCAGAUAUCAGGAGGAACACCAGUGGCGAAGGCGGUUCUCUGGGCCUUUCCUGACGCUGAGGAGCGAAAGCGUGGGGAGCGAACAGGCUUAGAUACCCUGGUAGUCCACGCUGUAAACGGUGGGUACUAGGUGUGGGGUCCAUUCCACGGGUUCCGUGCCGUAGCUAACGCUUUAAGUACCCCGCCUGGGGA